RNAcentral lists this ribosomal RNA (327 nucleotides) under uncultured bacterium. RNAcentral describes it as "bacterial SSU rRNA". It matches the Rfam family "Bacterial small subunit ribosomal RNA", at positions 29 to 334 of the family's 1533-position model. The record is from RNAcentral.
ACGAACGCUGGCGGCGUGCCUAAUACAUGCAAGUCGAACGCUUCUUUCCUCCCGAGUGCUUGCACUCAAUUGGAAAGAGGAGUGGCGGACGGGUGAGUAACACGUGGGUAACCUACCCAUCAGAGGGGGAUAACACUUGGAAACAGGUGCUAAUACCGCAUAACAGUUUAUGCCGCAUGGCAUAAGAGUGAAAGGCGCUUUCGGGUGUCGCUGAUGGAUGGACCCGCGGUGCAUUAGCUAGUUGGUGAGGUAACGGCUCACCAAGGCCACGAUGCAUAGCCGACCUGAGAGGGUGAUCGGCCACACUGGGACUGAGACACGGCCCAG